Molecule: long non-coding RNA, 561 nt
Organism: Megalobrama amblycephala (Wuchang bream)
Lineage: Eukaryota; Metazoa; Chordata; Actinopteri; Cypriniformes; Xenocyprididae
Exons: 5
Source: RefSeq, a predicted model, not a curated record
CACACAGGUGAUCUUACAGAUAUUUAUCUGCGUUUGAAGAAGCGAGUGAAUUGAGUUUGUAAUGUAGGAAAUAGUUUUUAGUUUUUUCGCCUCAUUAAACGCGGAUCCUUUUAUCAUAAAUGCUAAAAUCAAUUUUUUUCGACUGAUUUUAUUGAUUAUAGAGUAUUUCCUAAACUGCAGAUAAAAGCAGGGAUUAAUGUGAAUGAAAAUGAAUCAGUCUCGGAGAAACUGCAGUGCCACCACCUGGGAAAGAAGAACCACAAACAUCACAUCACUAAACUCACGGAUGUGGUUGGCAACGUGACAGUGCAGAAGCCAUGUUCCAUUGACUUCUGCCACCAUCUCCAGUGUCUGAAAUGCUCCUGGGAUCAGGUCAUACACAUCAGUACGAACGAUGAACGAAGGUCUUGCGGGUGUGGAAGGACAUGAGGGUUUCCGCAUGAAAAUGGACAGUGUGUAUGUCCGCUUCAUUGCCCAUCCCAAACAGGUACCAGACCACCUUGUCGCCUUCCACCAUUUCCAGCCCAUGAAGGUUUGCAUAGAGCUUCCCAUUGAUCCCUG